RNAcentral lists this ribosomal RNA (325 nucleotides) under uncultured bacterium. Its description in RNAcentral is "bacterial SSU rRNA". It matches the Rfam family "Bacterial small subunit ribosomal RNA", at positions 26 to 345 of the family's 1533-position model. The record is from RNAcentral.
AGGAUGAACGCUGGCGGCGUGCUUAAUACAUGCAAGUCGAACGAAGCUCCUUUUCUUCGGAUGAGGAGUCUUAGUGGCGAACGGGUGCGUAACGCGUUGGUAACCUGCCCCAAAGAGGGGGAUAACAGUUCGAAAGGACUGCUAAUACCCCAUACGAUCAUCAGGGUUAGAUACUUGAUGAUUAAAGGAGUAAUCCGCUUUGGGAGGGGCCUGCGUCCCAUCAGCUAGUUGGUAGGGUAAUGGCCUACCAAGGCGAUGACGGGUAGGGGACCUGAGAGGGUGGCCCCCCACACUGGCACUGAAAUACGGGCCAGACACCUACGGG